RNAcentral lists this ribosomal RNA (1422 nucleotides) under metagenome. RNAcentral describes it as "bacterial LSU rRNA". It matches the Rfam family "Bacterial large subunit ribosomal RNA", at positions 1537 to 2925 of the family's 2925-position model. The record is from RNAcentral.
AAAAUCCGUGAAGCUGUUACCUUAAAGUGUUACGGGUGUGCUAAUUCUUAGGAAAAAGCAUAUUUGACUAAUCCCAUGCUGACUAGAAAAACUUCUAGCGAGCUAAAGAGUGAUCGUACCGCAAACUGACACAGGUAGACGAGCUGAGAAUGCUCAGGCGUUGAGAUAAUUAUCAUUAAGGAACUCGGCAAAAUAACCCCGUAACUUCGGGAUAAGGGGUGCCUAUAAUGUUUUCUAGUUUACUAGAGACGCAUUUUUAGGCUUCAACAAAGAGGCCCAAUCGACUGUUUAACAAAAACACAGGGCUCUGCUAAACUCGUAAGAGGAUGUAUAGAGUCUGACGCCUGCCCAGUGCCGGAAGGUUAAUAGGAGAGGUUAGUCCUUCGGGACGAAGCUUUGAAUUGAAGCCCCGGUAAACGGCGGCCGUAACUAUAACGGUCCUAAGGUAGCGAAGUACCUUGUCGGGUAAGUUCCGACCUGCAUGAAUGGCGUAACGAGUUGGGCGCUGUCUUAAUGAUAAACUCAGUGAAUUUGUAGUGCAAGUGAAAAUGCUUGCUUCCUGCGACUGGACGGAAAGACCCCGUGCACCUUUACUAUAACUUAACAUUGAUUUUUGGAUUGAUAUGUGUAGGAUAGGCGGGAGACUGGGAAGCUGAGGCGCUAGCCUUAGUGGAGUCAACCUUGAAAUACCGCUCUUAUCCGUUUGAAAAUCUAACAUUGACCCGUAAACCGGGCAGUAGACAGUGUUUGGCGGGUAGUUUGACUGGGGUGGUCGCCUCCUAAAUUGUAACGGAGGCGUUCAAAGGUUCCCUCAAGACGAAUAGAAAUCGUCGGUAGAGCGUAAAGGCAUAAGGGAGCUUAACUGUGAGACAAACAAGUCGAACAGAUGCGAAAGCAGGACUUAGUGAUCCAGUGGUCCCGUAUGGAAGGGCCAUUGCUAAACGGAUAAAAGGUACGCCGGGGAUAACAGGCUGAUCUCCUCUAAGAGUCCACAUCGACGAGGAGGUUUGGCACCUCGAUGUCGGCUCAUCGCAUCCUGGGGCUGAAGAAGGUCCCAAGGGUUUGGCUGUUCGCCAAUUAAAGCGGUACGUGAGCUGGGUUCAGAACGUCGUAAGACAGUUCGGUCCUUAUCCGUCGUGGGCGUAAGGUAUUUGAGAGGAGCUGUCCCUAGUACGAGAGGACCGGGAUGGGCAGACCUCUGGUGUUCCAGUUGUUCACCAAGAGCAACGCUGGGUAGCCAAGUGUGUAAGAGAUAACCGCUGAAAGCAUCUAAGUGGGAAACUCGCCUCAAGAUAAGAUACCUCGGAUUGACGUGAGUCAGUUCAUAAGGUUCGUUGAAGACUACAACGUUGAUAGGCUGGAUGUGUAAGCACAGUAAUGUGUUGAGCUAACCAGUACUAAUAAACCGAAUGUUUUAAUCAC